AUUGAACGCUGGCGGCAUGCCUUACACAUGCAAGUCGAGCGGCAGCGCGGGGCGAACCCUGGCGGCGAGCGGCGAACGGGUGAGUAAUACAUCGGAACGUGCCCAGUAGUGGGGAUAACCUCUCGAAAGAGAGGCUAAUACCGCAUACGACCUACGGGUGAAAGCGGGGACCGCAAGGCCUCGCGCUAUUGGAGCGGCCGAUGUCGGAUUAGCUAGUUGGCGGGGUAAAGGCCCACCAAGGCGACGAUCCGUAGCUGGUCUGAGAGGACGACCAGCCACACUGGAACUGAGACACGGUCCAGACUCCUACGGGAGGCAGCAGUGGGGAAUUUUGGACAAUGGGCGCAAGCCUGAUCCAGCCAUGCCGCGUGAGUGAAGAAGGCCUCGGGUUGUAAAGCUCAUUCGGCGGGACGAAACGGUCCGUGCCAACACCACGGACUAAUGACGGUACCCGCAGAAGAAGCACCGGCUAACUACGUGCCAGCAGCCGCGGUAAUACGUAGGGUGCAGGCGUUAAUCGGAAUUACUGGGCGUAAAGCGUGCGUAGGCGGUUUGUUAAGACAGGUGUGAAAUCCCCGGGCUUAACCUGGGAACUGCGCUUGUUACUGGCAGACUUGAGUGUGGCAGAGGGGGUGGAAUUCCACGUGUAGCAGUGAAAUGCGUAGAGAUGUGGAGGAACACCGAUGGCGAAGGCAG
This 696-nucleotide ribosomal RNA is filed under the name uncultured bacterium. Its description in RNAcentral is "bacterial SSU rRNA". It matches the Rfam family "Bacterial small subunit ribosomal RNA", at positions 28 to 724 of the family's 1533-position model. The record is from RNAcentral.